Molecule: ribosomal RNA, 2787 nt
Filed under: Escherichia coli
Lineage: Bacteria; Pseudomonadati; Pseudomonadota; Gammaproteobacteria; Enterobacterales; Enterobacteriaceae
Description: bacterial LSU rRNA
Rfam family: Bacterial large subunit ribosomal RNA
Source: RNAcentral
AGCGUACACGGUGGAUGCCCUGGCAGUCAGAGGCGAUGAAGGACGUGCUAAUCUGCGAUAAGCGUCGGUAAGGUGAUAUGAACCGUUAUAACCGGCGAUUUCCGAAUGGGGAAACCCAGUGUGUUUCGACACACUAUCAUUAACUGAAUCCAUAGGUUAAUGAGGCGAACCGGGGGAACUGAAACAUCUAAGUACCCCGAGGAAAAGAAAUCAACCGAGAUUCCCCCAGUAGCGGCGAGCGAACGGGGAGGAGCCCAGAGCCUGAAUCAGUGUGUGUGUUAGUGGAAGCGUCUGGAAAGGCGCGCGAUACAGGGUGACAGCCCCGUACACAAAAAUGCACAUGCUGUGAGCUCGAUGAGUAGGGCGGGACACGUGGUAUCCUGUCUGAAUAUGGGGGGACCAUCCUCCAAGGCUAAAUACUCCUGACUGACCGAUAGUGAACCAGUACCGUGAGGGAAAGGCGAAAAGAACCCCGGCGAGGGGAGUGAAAAAGAACCUGAAACCGUGUACGUACAAGCAGUGGGAGCACGCUUCGGCGUGUGACUGCGUACCUUUUGUAUAAUGGGUCAGCGACUUAUAUUCUGUAGCAAGGUUAACCGAAUAGGGGAGCCGAAGGGAAACCGAGUCUUAACUGGGCGUUAAGUUGCAGGGUAUAGACCCGAAACCCGGUGAUCUAGCCAUGGGCAGGUUGAAGGUUGGGUAACACUAACUGGAGGACCGAACCGACUAAUGUUGAAAAAUUAGCGGAUGACUUGUGGCUGGGGGUGAAAGGCCAAUCAAACCGGGAGAUAGCUGGUUCUCCCCGAAAGCUAUUUAGGUAGCGCCUCGUGAAUUCAUCUCCGGGGGUAGAGCACUGUUUCGGCAAGGGGGUCAUCCCGACUUACCAACCCGAUGCAAACUGCGAAUACCGGAGAAUGUUAUCACGGGAGACACACGGCGGGUGCUAACGUCCGUCGUGAAGAGGGAAACAACCCAGACCGCCAGCUAAGGUCCCAAAGUCAUGGUUAAGUGGGAAACGAUGUGGGAAGGCCCAGACAGCCAGGAUGUUGGCUUAGAAGCAGCCAUCAUUUAAAGAAAGCGUAAUAGCUCACUGGUCGAGUCGGCCUGCGCGGAAGAUGUAACGGGGCUAAACCAUGCACCGAAGCUGCGGCAGCGACGCUUAUGCGUUGUUGGGUAGGGGAGCGUUCUGUAAGCCUGUGAAGGUGUACUGUGAGGUAUGCUGGAGGUAUCAGAAGUGCGAAUGCUGACAUAAGUAACGAUAAAGCGGGUGAAAAGCCCGCUCGCCGGAAGACCAAGGGUUCCUGUCCAACGUUAAUCGGGGCAGGGUGAGUCGACCCCUAAGGCGAGGCCGAAAGGCGUAGUCGAUGGGAAACAGGUUAAUAUUCCUGUACUUGGUGUUACUGCGAAGGGGGGACGGAGAAGGCUAUGUUGGCCGGGCGACGGUUGUCCCGGUUUAAGCGUGUAGGCUGGUUUUCCAGGCAAAUCCGGAAAAUCAAGGCUGAGGCGUGAUGACGAGGCACUACGGUGCUGAAGCAACAAAUGCCCUGCUUCCAGGAAAAGCCUCUAAGCAUCAGGUAACAUCAAAUCGUACCCCAAACCGACACAGGUGGUCAGGUAGAGAAUACCAAGGCGCUUGAGAGAACUCGGGUGAAGGAACUAGGCAAAAUGGUGCCGUAACUUCGGGAGAAGGCACGCUGAUAUGUAGGUGAAGUCCCUCGCGGAUGGAGCUGAAAUCAGUCGAAGAUACCAGCUGGCUGCAACUGUUUAUUAAAAACACAGCACUGUGCAAACACGAAAGUGGACGUAUACGGUGUGACGCCUGCCCGGUGCCGGAAGGUUAAUUGAUGGGGUCAGCGCAAGCGAAGCUCUUGAUCGAAGCCCCGGUAAACGGCGGCCGUAACUAUAACGGUCCUAAGGUAGCGAAAUUCCUUGUCGGGUAAGUUCCGACCUGCACGAAUGGCGUAAUGAUGGCCAGGCUGUCUCCACCCGAGACUCAGUGAAAUUGAACUCGCUGUGAAGAUGCAGUGUACCCGCGGCAAGACGGAAAGACCCCGUGAACCUUUACUAUAGCUUGACACUGAACAUUGAGCCUUGAUGUGUAGGAUAGGUGGGAGGCUUUGAAGUGUGGACGCCAGUCUGCAUGGAGCCGACCUUGAAAUACCACCCUUUAAUGUUUGAUGUUCUAACGUUGACCCGUAAUCCGGGUUGCGGACAGUGUCUGGUGGGUAGUUUGACUGGGGCGGUCUCCUCCUAAAGAGUAACGGAGGAGCACGAAGGUUGGCUAAUCCUGGUCGGACAUCAGGAGGUUAGUGCAAUGGCAUAAGCCAGCUUGACUGCGAGCGUGACGGCGCGAGCAGGUGCGAAAGCAGGUCAUAGUGAUCCGGUGGUUCUGAAUGGAAGGGCCAUCGCUCAACGGAUAAAAGGUACUCCGGGGAUAACAGGCUGAUACCGCCCAAGAGUUCAUAUCGACGGCGGUGUUUGGCACCUCGAUGUCGGCUCAUCACAUCCUGGGGCUGAAGUAGGUCCCAAGGGUAUGGCUGUUCGCCAUUUAAAGUGGUACGCGAGCUGGGUUUAGAACGUCGUGAGACAGUUCGGUCCCUAUCUGCCGUGGGCGCUGGAGAACUGAGGGGGGCUGCUCCUAGUACGAGAGGACCGGAGUGGACGCAUCACUGGUGUUCGGGUUGUCAUGCCAAUGGCACUGCCCGGUAGCUAAAUGCGGAAGAGAUAAGUGCUGAAAGCAUCUAAGCACGAAACUUGCCCCGAGAUGAGUUCUCCCUGACUCCUUGA